Molecule: long non-coding RNA, 1299 nt
Filed under: Sus scrofa (pig)
Lineage: Eukaryota; Metazoa; Chordata; Mammalia; Artiodactyla; Suidae
Description: lncRNA (ENSSSCG00070016068.1)
Source: RNAcentral
AGGGUUCUGUGGGAGCCUGAGAUUCCGUUUCGGAAAUGACAAGGCUCCUCUGAAAAGCCAAGCUUGUCCAUGGAAACACGCUCUCUGCCGGCAGGCAGCCGUUGGACCCAUCCACGGUAAUGUGCUUGUGCACUUCUUGCCUCAUGGUCAGGCUGUCGCUCUGUGGCCUGAGAGGUUUGUACGUGGUGGCCAGUGUGACGCUCUCACUUCACGGCUCAUGCUUUAGGAAUGGGCAAUCUCAAUCACUGUUCCUAAGGUAAGUUUACAUUGCUCCCCCGAGUGGCUGUUCCUUCAGAUGGGCUCGCUCACUUUGUCUCCUGCAUUUUUCCUUCUUGUGUUUUUCUUCUCAUUUCUACCCCUCUGAGCUAUCUCUAGAGUUAUGCGUAUAACUUCCGGGUUCGUUGUCUUAAUUAAUAUGUCUGGUCCACCUGCCUCAGAUUCAUCACCCGUCAUUGUUGUGACGCUUGGACUGUCACUUGGUUACCCCUCAUGUGGGUCCUGUUUGCACUUCCUCACCUUCAACAGGACUGAGUAUCAGAGGAGAUGAAAAUAGAUUGCAUAGGAUGCUGCUUCCGGAUCCAAAGGAACAAUCGACAGAUGUCACAAAGAUCCACCUCUGGCUGCAUCAGAAAAUUAUGCUCCUGGCUCCACCAGCGAAUGCAACGGGCUAAUGGGUCGGGGACAGUUCACCCUCGGCAUAUUUUGGUGAAGGAGUACAGCAGCUCAGAAGAUAUUCCAUCUGACCCCUCACUCAUGUUGUACGAGUGGCCUUACAGAAGCGAAUUUAUUGCGGAGAGCGUUGGCAGCAUCACUAACGAAGAUGAAGAAUGUUACAUGGCAGAUAACGAGAAUUCUGACAAGGAAAGCAGAAUUAAGCGGAAGCGGAAACGCUCCCUGUUCCUGCGUUUAAGAAAAGCAUUUGGGGGGACAGCCUCCGAUGCCGAUGAUGAGCACACCUAGGAAGAGGCAGUGUCGAUGUGGCAGACCGGGGGUGCAAAGAUUGUCAGUUUGGCAUCAAUGACAACCUGGAUGUGAACACCCCCAGCCUACGCCUCAGCACAUCCAUACCAUCAGGACCUCCACCUAAAUAAGUCCAGAAGCAGCCUCACUCAAUGCUCACCUCCUAGGGCACCUCACUUAGUAUAAUCUCCGUUGUUUAACUGCAUAGAUUUAGUGUAUUAGUUAUAUCCCUAGUUUUAUCUUUUAGUUUUCUCUAUAUGUUCUAUAUGUUCAAUAUUUAUCUCUAUGUUCUGUCUUUUAUGAAAUAAAAUGUUUCUUAUUAAAUUUAAUUUAUUAUUA